GCCGCGAUGGUGGAAUUGGUAGACACGCUGGUCUUAGGAACCAGUACCUUAGGGUGUGGAAGUUCGAAUCUUCUUCGCGGUA
Molecule: transfer RNA, 82 nt
Filed under: Fidelibacterota bacterium
Lineage: Bacteria; Pseudomonadati; Fidelibacterota
Description: tRNA-Leu
Rfam family: tRNA
About the family: Transfer RNA (tRNA) molecules are approximately 80 nucleotides in length. Their secondary structure includes four short double-helical elements and three loops (D, anti-codon, and T loops).
Source: RNAcentral